Non-coding RNA from Gopherus evgoodei (Goodes thornscrub tortoise), 384 nucleotides. Lineage: Eukaryota; Metazoa; Chordata; Testudines; Testudinidae. The record is from the annotation of a RefSeq genome assembly.
AUGGCCUGGGCCCCUCUGCUCCUCACGCUGCUCACGUACUUCUCAGAGGUCAGUUCACAGGCUGUGGUGGCUCAGGAGCCCUCAGUGUUCAUUGCCCCAGGAGGGGCCAUCACUCUGUCCUGCAGCCUGAGCACUGGAGCCAUCACCACCAGCAACUAUCCCUCCUGGUACCAGCAGAAACCAGGGUCUGCUCCUCGGAUGCUCAUAUAUGAAACUAAUAAGAGACCCUCAGGGAUCCCUGCCUGGUUCUCUGGGUCCAUUUCCAGUAACGACGCUGCCCUCGCCAUCACCGGUGUCCAGGUAGAGGACGACGCUGACUAUUACUGGGCUGUGUACACGGGUAGCAGUGGGUGCACUAUACACAGUGAUACAGCGAGGUUCUGA